AUUCAGGUAGUUUAAUUAGAAUUAUAAUUUGUGGUGUUAUGGGUGAAUUUUUUCUCUGGGUC
RNAcentral lists this transfer RNA (62 nucleotides) under Glaucias dorsalis. RNAcentral's name for it is "tRNA-His". The record is from RNAcentral. Lineage: Eukaryota; Metazoa; Arthropoda; Insecta; Hemiptera; Pentatomidae.